UCCGUGUUAACCACGGCAGUCUCUUUAGAGUGCCCAACUGAAUGAUGGCAACUAAAGACAAGGGUUGCGCUCGUUGCGGGACUUAACCCAACAUGUCACCACACGAGCUGACGACAGCCAUGCAGCACCUGUCACUUGGUCGUAUUGCUACGAAAGCCCUAUCUCUAGGGUUGUCCAAGGAUGUCAAAUCCAGGUAAGGUUCUUCGCGUUGCUUCGAAUUAAACCACAUGAUCCACCGCUUGUGCGGGCCCCCGUCAAUUCCUUUGAGUUUUAGUCUUGCGACCGUACUUCCCAGGCGGGGUACUUAUUGCGUUAGCUCCGACUCAGCGGGGGUCAAGACCCACUAAAUCUAGUACCCAUCGUUUACAGCGUGGACUAC
RNAcentral lists this unclassified non-coding RNA (379 nucleotides) under uncultured Oligoflexales bacterium. RNAcentral describes it as "contains 16S-23S intergenic spacer region". The record is from RNAcentral. Lineage: Bacteria; Pseudomonadati; Bdellovibrionota; Oligoflexia; Oligoflexales.